Molecule: RNA transcript, 6243 nt
Organism: Cornus florida
Lineage: Eukaryota; Viridiplantae; Streptophyta; Magnoliopsida; Cornales; Cornaceae
Exons: 4
Source: RefSeq, a predicted model, not a curated record
GAGAUCUCCUUGAAAUUAGGACAUCCUUCAGGAAGCCUAAGUGAAGUUAACCUUUAAAAAAAAAAGUAAAAUAAAAAUACGAAAUAUUAUAGGGAUAUAGAUAUACACUAAAACGGUCCACGGAAGGGCAAUGUUGCUUUUUACGUAUGCCAAGCAUUUUCUUGGCAUAUUUUCUGCUUCUUCACGUGGGUCUUGCAGAAGACUGGCAGAGAAUUGACUACACUUCACGUGGUUCAUGCAGAAGGCUGGCAGAGAAUUGAUUACUCUUCAUAUGCAAUCAAUGGAAAGAUAAAUAAAAAUGUUGGUGUAGGUAACAUACAGUAUGGAAUCAAUAAAGACCACAUUAUCAUACCCACCAAACAUGAAGUGUGAAGACACAACACCCUCCGGUCUCAAUAUAUAUCGAGACUCCUCUCUUGCAUUAUCUGUCUCUUUCUAAAAUUUGGAGGUCAAGCCCAUUUACAGAAUCCACCACUACUAUAUUUUCUCUCUAAAAUUCUCGAUCUCUCUCCGUACCCUCAUGGUUCACUUGUUCAAGCAUUCAUUUGCUCUCUCUGCGUUUCAUCUAGUAGAGCCGAUUAGGGUAAUUUCUUGUGAGAGGAAAAUAAUUGGAAUGAGCAGUAUCGGUAAAGGUAUAUAAUAAUUUUUUUGUAUAAUUAGAAUUUGUUGCUCACAAAAUGUCUUGUUGAAUUUAUGUUAAUAGAAUUGUUUGGGUGUUGAUUCUGUGUGACAAAAUAUUAUAAUCAAACCUUUCAACAAAACGUGCAAUCUCCUCCACUGAUUUGGUUGAAUAUGACAUGUUGAUAUAUAUAUAUAUAUAUAUAUAUAUAUAUAUAUCAAAUAUGACAUGUUAAGCUGCCUCUUAACAGUAUGAAAGUGUAUUAGAGAUCUAAUUUUGCUAGAGAAUCAAAUCCCAUGGGUUGUUCCAAGAGAAAUAUUCCAAGCAAGAUAUGGUUGGGAUCAUGAUAUCUACAGCCAAGUAAUUUCGUUUGCAAAUAUGGUUAUUUCUGGUUCAACAAAACGUGCAAUCUCCUCCACUGAUUUGGUUGAAUUGACAUGUUGAUAUAUAUAUAUAUAUAUAUAUAUAUAUAUAUAUAUAUAUAUAUCAAAUAUGACAUGUUAAGCUGCCUCUUAACAGUAUGAAAGUGUAUUAGAGAUCUAAUUUUGCUAGAGAAUCAAAUCCCAUGGGUUGUUCCAAGAGAAAUAUUCCAAGCAAGAUAUGGUUGGGAUCAUGAUAUCUACAGCCAAGUAAUUUCGUUUGCAAAUGUGGUUAUUUCUGGUUCAACAAAACGUGCAAUCUCCUCCACUGAUUUGAUUGAUAUCUUCCAGCAGAGUUCUGUCCAUCUUUUGGACAUUAUAAGACGUAAGAUAAUCAAGUUUGUGUUACCAAACCACAAUCCUAGAAGGCUUCAGCAUUCAAGAAUGAAAAUUUUCAUCUUCCUAAAGUUUUCAUUUGUGAGUAUUCUGAGAGGUUGUUUGUGAAUUUAAUGGCUUAUGAGUAUAAUUCUUGGACUAAAAUCCUGGUUGAUUGGAUUGUUGCAGAGUGAUGAGGAAAGUGUGAGAAUCUUCUUGUGUUAUAGUGGUGGAAAUAUAGCAUUACUGUUUAGACGGAUGACCCAUGGAUUGGAGAAAGUUGUAAAUCCGAUUAAGGUUUACCAAAACCCAAAUGUGAUACUCAUACAGCCUCUAAAGUAUUAGUGCGCAUUGUCAUAAAAUCAUAUUUCUAGUAUUUUAAAAUUAACUAGUGGCUUUGUUCCUCAAUAAUCAUUAUCAAUUAUAUUUUUUAUUCUUCUCAAUUGUAUAAUCCAAAAUUAGAAAUUUCUGCUACCUGUUAAACUUUGGUCACUUGCGAAGUAGAUUAUUUUGUGGGGUUCUAAGGAAUAUGUAAAUAACUUUCAUAUCCUUUUAAGAAGGAAGCCGUUGGGCAAUCUUCCUGGUCAAACUUCCAAGUCAAUAUAGACUUGUAACGACCGUCCAUUCAUUAGCCAGUUGCCACGUGUUCUCAUCGCCUUGGAUCUUCCGGGGUUGUUAUCAGAAUAUUCAUGCCGUGUGGGGGAGGUUUCCGUUAGCUCCAACUACCGUUUCUUUUUAUAUAACGUUGAAAUGAUUCAAUACUUUACAAUUAUUUCAAAAAUAUGUUUUAAAUUUAUCAUUUCCCAUCCCCAUUCCUCGGUCAAAUUUUUUACCUCCAUCCCCGCCCCGUACUUGUUUAAUUUUUAACCCCCUCUCUCGUCCCUUCCACGCCACAUUAGCCUCCGACCUUGCCUCUGCAUAACUUUUUUAAAUUUUAAUUCAUCUUUAACAAAAUUAACAGAGUCAUAAUAUUUUUUAAUUUAAUAAUUUAAUAAAGUUUUAAUAUAAUUAUAACAAUUUAAAGCAUGAUAAGAUGUUUAAUACAUAACGAUUAUGUUUUUUUUUCUAUGCUACGAGGAAGAGUAGCCCCGGCUAUGCUGCAGGGAUUCAUUUUUAGAAGUGAAUAUAUUAUAUAUAUAGUUAUGUAAUUUAGUAAUAUUUUAUAGCAUAUAAGGGUGAUUUUGUAAAAAUGCACUAUAAACGGGACGGGAAAGAGUAGCCCCGCCUAUAAAUAGGGCGGGGAUCCGCUGGACAUGGGAAUUUUGCCAUCUCUAGUUUUUUUACAAUAUUUUCUCAAUUGAAUACAUGCUGCAAAUUUGCAAUAGAAGUUUUGGCAAUAAUUUCGGGUGUAAAAAAGUUGAAAAAAAAAAAAAACACAUAAAGCAAAAAGUAAAAAAAAAAAAAUGAGAAGCUCAUGUGUUUAUGUCUAAAGUUACAUAUAUUUAACAAUUAGUGAAAUCAAAUUAAUAUCAAAUUAAAGUUGCCGAAUGAGUUCAUUAGAGACGUUAUCCACUAACUUUAAAGUCCAAAGUUGGUUGGUGUGUGUUUUUGUUUUUUUUUUUUUUUUGAAACUUCUAAAUAUUUUUUUAUAAUAUUUUAAAUACAAAAGGAGUCAAUAAAAGGUUGAUAAAUGAAUUACUAAAUAAAUUAUUACCUAUUUAGUGCACUACUAAUUGUUUUCAUUUUAGUUAUUGAAAAUGCAUUAGUGGAUUUUAAAAAUUGACACGACAGUUUCAUUGCAUCUUUGACCCGAAUCAAGGAAAAAUGAAUCUUGUUCUUUUAUUGAUCAGAAAUUUUUUAAUGAAAAAUACGAAUCGGAGUUUGAAAAAGGAGAAAGAGAAGUGUUAUGUAUAUUUUGUAACAAAUAUAUUCUAUUACUAAAUAUAAUUAUUUUUUUUAUGUUUUUAAAUUUUUAGUAAUAACAAGUAUUAAUAAAUAUUAUUUUUGUUUUUUAUUUUUACUCAAGGAACACAAAGUCAUGUUUUUACUUUUUUAAGUCUCUAAAAAUAAAAAACAAAAACAUUACUAAACACACUUAAUAUUUUCUCAACUGUAUUUACAUACUGCAAAUUUGUAAUAGAAGUUUUGACAAUAAUUUCGGAUGUAAAAAACACCGAAAGCAAAAAAUAAAAUUAAAAAAAUAAGAAGGCGUUCUCGUGUUUAUGUCUAACUUACUUAUAUUAAUGCAAAUAUGCUUCUAUUAAUUGUCAUCCAAAGUACCUUUCAUGUGGGGUCAUGCAUGAUCAUUUAUAUUAAUUACGGAAUAAGUUGAAUUCAAAUCAAAUACGGAGUUGCAAAUGGGUCAGCGACUUAAUAGUAUUAAAAUCUUUCUCCCUUUCUCCCAGGAGGUGAAGCAUUCAAAUAUCAAAAGAAAUAAGUAUCAAUUAAAAAAUAAAAAAUAGGAGAAAGUGUAAAAAACUUCCUGUUGGCGAAUUGCAACUAACUUUCGAAUUAUAAAAAAUUCUCUUAAACUAUGAAUUUGUUGACAAAUUGUAACUAACUCCCGUAUUAUAAAAAAUUCUCUUAAACUAUGAAUUUGUUGGAUUUUACCCCACCACGGUAGCUGCCCACGCCGAAAAAAAAUUCUGACCAGUUUACCCUUUAGAAGCGUUUUAACUUGAGCCUCACCAAAUUUUUUUUUUUGGGUGACGACACUUUUGCACUUCAGCAAGCACAACCCACACGGGCCAAACCACAGCAAGCUAGAGAGAGAAGAGAUGAGAGAGAAGACUGAUGGCGGCUCGCGGCGGCGUGAGUAUUGGAAUCGUCGUCGCUGGAGCCACCACGGCCAAGGCGAUAAGAGGAGCCCAAAAAUCAUCGUCGGAAGCACGGAGGCGUACAACGUCGGCAACCCAGAAGAAUAUGAUUCAGAGGUCCACAAAACAAUUGGGUUUGCUUAUGAUUGGGGUUAAAAUUUGUAAUUGGGUUUGCUUGUGAUGGCGACAGCGGCGAGCUCGGCUAGAUUGAAUCGGUCAUGGAUAAUGGAUUGAAUCUGCCGUGGAAGAACUGCGGCGGUUAGCUCGCUGGCGUGACUGGCACAGCGGUGGGCGACGGCGUGACAGGCGCAGCGGUGGGCGACGAGAGACGGGCUGGGAACUGAUGGUAGCGAGGACGGGCUGAAGGUCGUGUAGACGGAACUGAUGGCGGUUCGCUGUGGCAUGACUGGCGUAGCGGUGGGCGACGGCUGGUAAAAAAGGCAGCCAAAUUUUUUUAUCGAAAAUUUGUUUGGUCAAUGGACUCUUGAAGUUAGGCUAUAUUAAUCAAUUACCUCAUAACUCUCUCCUGAUAUAAAGAAAUCAUGGGUUUUGAAUUGUGAAAAUCUUUUCAACCAAUUCAUAUAAAUAAGAAAUAAGAAAAAUAAAAUGAUUGCAAUUUGUGAUUUAAAUAUGAUUAAUUAUUGAAUUACCCACAAACAUAUCAUCCAAUUUGGUGAGAUCGGAGGAUGUGUUGGUGUAGGGUUGUGCUGUGAAGAAGACGAACUGUGAAGAUGUACUGUGAAGAAGUGAACAGUGAAGAUGUGUAUAUAUAUAUAUAUGCGUGUAUAUACAGAAUAGCCUAAGGGAGUGUUUGGCUAUAACAAAUACUGUUUGAGUAAAUAUCAUCACAAUAAGGGACAUUAGAGGCUUUUCAUGCACAUAAGGGCAUUUUAGUCAUUAUAUUAUACAUUGUUUGUCACGUGACAGCCACAUGGUCCUUUGCCGGUAAGUUUUGACCGGAAGCCUGGCGACUGGGGUGAUCUGCAACAAAAAUAUAGUUGAAGGGGGAUUUUUGAAAUUUUUGUAAUUUAGGGGAUUUGUUGCUUAUUGACCAAUAAUUUAGAAAGGUUUUUUGCAUUUUAUCCUAAAAAAAUAAAAAUACGGAGUAUUAUAUAGGGAUAUAGAUAUACACUAAAAACGGUGCACGGAAGGACAAUUUUGCUUUUUACGCACGCAUGCCAAGCAUCUUGGCAAAUUAUCUGCUUCCUCACGUCGCUUUUACAGAAGGCUAGCAAAGAAUCAACUACUCUUCACGUGGUUCAUGCCAGAAGGCUGGCACAGAAUUGAUUACUCUUCAUAUGUAAUCAAUGGAAAGAUAAAUAAAAAUAUAGGUGUAGGUAACGUACAGUAUGGAAUCAAUAAAGACCAUUAUCAUACCCACCAGACAUGAAGUGUGAGGACACAGCAGCCUCCAUCUCAAUACAUAUCGCGAGUCCUCUCUUGCAUUAAAUUUCUCUCUCUAAAAUUUGGAGAUUAGGUUUAUUUCUUGUGAGGAGAAUAAUUGGAAUGAGUAUCGGUAAAGGUUUGUUUCCCAAAAAGGAAUAAGAAUGAUGUUUUGAUGAGUUCUUGAAGAUCGAAGCAUAUCGGGCCGGGGAUCUACAGUUUGCAAAGCUAAUUCGUGCCAUUGAACUCAUGGCAUUCUCUACAUCGUGCUAAGAAGGAAGUAGCGUCAUCAGGCCGAGCCAAAGGUCAAUUUUAAGAGAGUGUUUUUGAGCCUAGGAGCAUUGCGGGCGCCCGCCAGCCUCAUGCACAAUUCCUACGAGUGCCCGCCAUUUUGUGAUCAUUGAAUUUAAAUUCCAAAGGAAGAAAGAAUUGCAUUCCAGUAAGUUUUAAAUUUGGCGGGGCGCCUGCCAUUUGCCAUCAGGAGAGCCAAGGAUGCCCUUUGCCAGCGUGUGGAAGCCCCCUUGACACCUCGCGGGUGCCCGCCAAGCUACAGAUAGUAGGUCGCCAACUCCAUUGUUUUGCUCAAUGUUGUCUCCUUAACUAAAUGAAUGGCGCUGCACUCUUCUAGGGAUUUCUAGCCACUAGAUUAAUUGAUUUUGGUAGGAUUUUUAGCUCAUAAAAAGGGCUUGAAUGGUUGUAAAGACAUAUCCAACUUUGUAAGGUUUUUUAGAGAGAAAUAUUGUGUUCUUGA